Molecule: ribosomal RNA, 468 nt
Filed under: uncultured bacterium
Lineage: Bacteria
Description: partial 16S ribosomal RNA
Rfam family: Bacterial small subunit ribosomal RNA
Source: RNAcentral
GACGAACGCUGGCGGCGCGCCUAACACAUGCAAGUCGAACGGAGUCAAGAGGAGCUUGCUUUUCUUGACUUAGUGGCGAACGGGUGAGUAACGCGUGAGUAACCUGCCCUGGAGUGGGGGACAACAGUUGGAAACGACUGCUAAUACCGCAUAAGCCCACGGAUCUGCAUGGAUCUGCGGGAAAAGGAUUUAUUCGCUCUAGGAUGGACUCGCGUCCAAUUAGCUAGUUGGUGAGGUAACGGCCCACCAAGGCGACGAUUGGUAGCCGGACUGAGAGGUUGAACGGCCACAUUGGGACUGAGACACGGCCCAGACUCCUACGGGAGGCAGCAGUGGGGGAUAUUGCACAAUGGGGGAAACCCUGAUGCAGCGACGCCGCGUGGAGGAAGAAGGUUUUCGGAUUGUAAACUCCUGUCGUUAGGGACGAUAAUGACGGUACCUAACAAGAAAGCACCAGCUAACUACGUU